UGUGUGUGUGAGCUGGUGGUGCCUGCAGGCAGUCCUCGGUUGCCCAGGAAACACAGAUGGUGGAUGAAGGGCGCGCAUACAAAAGACCAUAAACCUGUGGCAGCAGCUGGAGACCGAGCCCGCUCAUUAAUUCAGCUCCGCGCAGUCCUGCUCACUCAAAGACGUCGCUGUUCUCCUCAACACCUCCCAUCCAUUUUCUUUGUCCCCGGGGCUUCCGUCUCCACUUUAUCCCGUGUUUCUCUCCGCUUCUUCCGCGGACUGGACGGCCGUCAGUGCGCAGCUGUUGUCGGCACUCCCACAUCUGCCUCUCUGCGCUCGGCGGCCAUGUACGACGCUCAGGCGCGGCUCGUGUUAGUGCGCAGAGGGGAGGUAGAUCCAGGGGCCGAGCAAAGGAGCCUUUCACUGCAGGCGACAGCACUGCACACACGAGGCGUGAGUUUGCAGGUUAGGCAGCUUUCACCCCCCUCAGCAUGGAGAUAAGAAGAACAGGAGAAGGAAGGAGACGGAGAAGAGGAGGAGGAAGAUGGGAUCUUUUCGCACCGCCUGAUUCUGCGGGACAGGUGCGCAUGGACCCUGGAAAUCACUGGCAACCUUGUGGUCAGUGCUGCAGCAGAUUCAUGGACAGAGCAGCUGACAUGUGACCCGUCAGGACACCGGGAGGAUCCCCCAGCAGGACAGGUUAUGUGUACAGGCUGGAUUAUCUUUAUCACCUGAUGGAGAAUUUGUAUUGAGAACAGAUGGUGUCAGGGAUCUUUCAGCAGUGGGUGUGUUUGAUUUAUGUUUAGAUAAAGAGCAGCAAUGAGAAACCAGAGGGGAAAUAAUCCCUGGGGUGUUUUGGGUGGACAGUUGGGUGGCGUCCCACUUUUCUGCUGCUUUGUGUUGUGUGUUCCUCUCCAGUUACACUGAUGGAGGAGCAGAUCGGGGAUCGCACCGGACCUGACGAGCGGCGUCGCUCCAUCGCCCUCGGCUGUGCUGCCUCAGACUGGUACAGGAUCUGUCAGUAGAUUUACACCACGUGACGGAUGCCAUUGCUGCUGUCCAGAACCUCCAGAAGGAGACGAUCCAUGUUCCAAGUGUUUCCCCACUGAGAGAUGACUUCAGCUGCUUUUAUGUAUCUGUAAAAAAAAAAAUGUCACCACUGCUUUACAGUCAGUCUCAUCAUGAUCAGGUGUAGCAGGAAGGUAUUUCAUGGCUGGUGUUUUGAGUCCAGAGUAACUCUGCGGUGUUCUUCUCUGUCUCCUUCAUAUGUGUGUAUUUCCCUGGCUGUGAGUAAUACAGCUCCAUCCACCCACACUCUAGCUUUUUUGUUUUUUUUUGGCUGAUGGAGAACGCUGACACCGCAGCCAUCGAACACCUCUCACACCUGCUCACUUCAGCCGCUGUCUGCGGUGACCUCCUCUCCCUGUUACCUUGGUUACCCUGUCAAACAUCUGGUCACUUCUGCUUGUAUAAGACACUUCAGAUUCACCAGCAGCGCCUGUUUCAGCGAUGCUUACAUCUCACCAGAGCGAGCAUGUGUCUAUGCCAGAUCCAGAACUGGAAAGCUCUGAUAUUUUUAAUCCAGCAGUGUUAGAAAAAAUCUGCUCAAGUGUGUGAGAAAUUUCUCACAUUUUGACAAAGUGUAAUUCUCACAGUAUGUUCUUUGUUUGUCUUGAAACCACUUAAUUUGGAUGUGACACCAACUAUUUAUUUAUUUAUUUUUUGGAUACAGAUCUUCCUUUGUGUAUUUUAACUGUACCGCGUGGGAGCGUGUGUAUCGGCGAGAGUGCAUGUGUUUCGUGUGCACGUGCGUGUGUGUGUGUGUGUGUGUGUUCCCGUACAUGUGCAUGUGUAUCAUGUCUGUGUGAUGGAACAGACAUCUGUAAUGCUCUUGAAGCUACUGGCUGCUUUUCAGUGAUUAUCUCAUCGCUGCAAAAAAGAAAACAAAAAAAAAGAAUAAAAAAUGCCUGCAGCUCUUCUUUUUUAGCCACCGACGGGUUAAAAAUGUAUUUACAAAUGAUUCUUAGCAUUUGUUUUCGACCUCUUUCAAGUAGCAGUUAGGUGGGGAUUCCUUUUGUGAUUUAGAUAAUCACAAGAAUGUCGCUGGAAAUUAAUGGUGUGUAGUUUUCUAAAUGAUGCCUGCUGGCGUUAAUUAAACUGUCAGGAUGCCUACAGCCCCACCAUCUGAUACUUAAGCAAAUUACAGCAAAUGCUAAUAAUUAUGUGCAAAUAGCUUUUUACCCAGGUCUGGAUUCUACUAACAGUACCUCACUAAUAUCUAACAAUACUAAUGUCUGCUAACAAGUCUGAUGAUUACUAACCAGUUCUCUGAAUGCUGAUGGCUGGCCUUGUUCUCUCUAACCCACUGACUAACCCCUCUGCUUUAUGCCCGCAGUCUGAUGCACACACUCCUCUCUCAUGAUCCUGCAAUCCUUCUGCCGCGUAGAAACCAACUUCACAUUGACCAUGACUGAAGAAAAUCUGUUAGCUGCGAGCGAGACAAGAAGGGUUUCAGGACGUGGGAAGGGAGAUGUUGCUAACCACUCGAUGACAAAGAGGAGCAGAAACAGCUGCUGAUACCGAACCGGGUUGACCACAUACUUUGGAAGAAUCCCUUACAACAGCAACAACAGCAACAGCAAAAAAAAAAAACAAAACCCGAUUGUGAUCUGAUUCCAAACGACUAAAUUCACACCCCUCAGAGACUGUGUGCUGUGUGGUCAACCUUCGCAGGUGAGUGGCUGGCUCGUUUUCACGCGAGCCGAGCAAACCUCAACUCCACUACUAACUCACUACGGUGUUCAUACUAACAGCGGUGAGGCUGGAAAAGGUCCACCUGUUGCUCUUACUAACAUGUCUGGUGGUGAUGUCUCAAAAAAAACACGAAUUAUUCCGUCUCUUUGCGAACCUUUGGUCAAAUCAGAGCAUGCCUCGUGGAACUACGUGACGUCACUAGUGCCACGAGCAUGUCGGAUCAGUCCUUUUCAAACGAGCUCGACGGGCUACUAACAUCUCCUAAAGUGAAAUUAACAAGAGACUAACCGAAGAGCUUUUAUUGGCUCCCUGCAGACUAACAAACUAACCCACUAAUAAACUAAUAAUCUAACAAAAACUAACUGGAAUCACUAACAUUUUGUCGAAAGCGAGUGGUGGAAUCGGCGAAGCGCUCCCGUGAUGAUUUAGGAGCUGCUUCACUCACUUGAACGUACUAACAGAAUUCAGUUUUGAAGAGUUGCUGACGUGACUUGAAUGUGCCUGUAUGUGUGUGUGUUUUUGUGUGUGUGUGUGUGUGUGUGUGUGUGAAAGACAGAGAGAGAGAGAGAAAGAGAGCCCAGAAGAGUGAGUGUGUGUGUGUGUUUUUGUUAGCAAAUCUAAAUGAGUGUCCACCUGGUUUCUGUCCUCUCAGGCGACAUUUGAACACAUAAAUGCAGUCUGUGUCCAUCA
This is a long non-coding RNA of Acanthopagrus latus (yellowfin seabream), 3423 nucleotides long. RefSeq lists it as uncharacterized. Lineage: Eukaryota; Metazoa; Chordata; Actinopteri; Spariformes; Sparidae. The transcript has 3 exons. The record is from RefSeq and is a predicted model, not a curated record.